UACGGAGGGGGCUAGCGUUGUUCGGAAUUACUGGGCGUAAAGCGCACGUAGGCGGCUUUGUAAGUUAGAGGUGAAAGCCCAGGGCUCAACCCUGGAAUUGCCUUUAAGACUGCAUCGCUUGAACAUCGGAGAGGUAAGUGGAAUUCCGAGUGUAGAGGUGAAAUUCGUAGAUAUUCGGAAGAACGCCAGUGGCGAAGGCGACUUACUGGACGAUUGUUGACGCUGAGGUGCGAAAGCGUGGGGAGCAAACAGG
Molecule: ribosomal RNA, 253 nt
Filed under: uncultured bacterium
Lineage: Bacteria
Description: partial 16S ribosomal RNA
Rfam family: Bacterial small subunit ribosomal RNA
Source: RNAcentral